AUUUGAGUAAAGAGAGCACUAUAAAAUCAAAAACCAAUGAAAUGGUUUCCAGAACACAGAACUAUUAAGCUUAAGAAAAGGACAGAAGGAACUGAAGAGAGAGGAACUGUUUUGGAGCAUCACACUUCCACCUCAGAAGAAAUAAGGAAGGAAGGAGGAGGGUGUUCCCACGGCUCUUCAACCAGGCCGGCUCUUCAGCCUACAUCCCCAUCUCAUCAAGUAAAAGGGAUUUUUCAACUGGACCAACCAGAUGGUUUAACAGUGCACUCCCACACCAUUCAACUACGCAAGGGAGAUACACUUAACAUAUGCAGUCGUAUAACACCUACUAACAUUUUCAAACAUUAAACCUUUAAAAAAGAGUUCUAAAGAAAUAGAAGCUUGAAGUAUCAUCUCUCAAGUAUAUAGACACUACUUCAUGGUGUGGUAAUAUAUGCAUAUAGAAGCUAGUAAACACCUCCAGGAGAUGCAAAAGGAAUUAGAACUGCCACAAGGUGCAAGCAAAACCUUGAGGGAGCACUACAAUUAUGAAAUAUAUUCUUUUCUGCUAUGGGAAAAUCAACACAAUUUGGAAGCAGUCCUGCCUGGAAUUUUGGGAAAUUGAUUCUUCCUCCUUGCCACUUUUCCAUCAAUCAACCUGCAGUCAAUGGAUAACUCCACUCUACUAUGUCUUCUAUCUCCUUUGUGGUACAUCUGAAAGUUGCUGAAUUGGAUCAGGUCAUUGCUUUGACAAUGUUUGUCACAAGGAUCUGUUGUAAACUCUCCCAAGAAAUCUUCCUCUGUGUAUUUGUCUUCUCAAGUCAUUAUGUUGUACCACCAAGUAAAUUAGACAUUAUGCAAAAGUACAUUCGUUUAUGAAAUAUACAGCAGAUAUUCAAAGAUAUCGUUUCCCAGUAAAACAGAAUGUAACAGGAUGUUUGCACACUAAGUAACUAUGUUUACUGUCAUUUAAAGAUCGACAAAUUCAAAAGUUCAUUAAAUUGCCCAGGGGCAUCCAACUAGGAAAUGGAAGAGCCAGGAUCCAAGCCCAGGUCUAACUGAGGGAGAAAGGGAUGUUUCCAUUGAUGUUUACUGUCCUGUGCCCUUCAGUCCCCUUUCUGCCCAUCUCAGAGAAUUUCAAUCUUGGAAUUCCCUCUCCAGUGUAUCCAGCAUUCUCUCAAUCACCCUUUCCCAGACAAUGUGUCUAACUAACAAACAAACGAACCAAUAAAGAAAAAGAAAUGGUCUGUUAAGUAAGAAGCAAAUCAAAAAAAGUAAACCUCCAUACUAUUUGAAUAUUUCCCAUUUUAAAUUUAUUUUCUAGAAGCUCUUUGGUAAGAAAUAAAAAGCACUAAAAAUUUCGAGCUUUGGGCAAUAAUGCUUAAAUCAAUUUCUUUUCAUGUUCACCGUAAAAAGAUAUUGCACUGAUGCUUAAGUCUAUUCCUGUCUUAGUAUUACAGUAUUAGUGUUUUCUGAAACGUAAAGUUCAGAACUUCAAGAUUAUUUUUAAUUUUAGUUUUAAAGUUACAAAAAUUUUAGAGACAGUUUGGGGGAAAUCAAUGAAUAUUUUUGGCAAAAGUAAAAGCAAUAAUAAAUACAAGGACCAGGAUACAGGCAGGCGUAUAUGGUUAGAAAGAGUUUCACUGAGCCAAAAAGCUCUGGAAAGGAGUAAGGGCACCAACUUGCCUUUAAAUAAUGCUGAUCCAAAAUUUCUGCUGUAAUUAGUCAGACUUGUGGAUGAUAGGCUAAUACUUUGAAAAACAUAGAAUUUCUGUCAGGCCAAAGUUGAAGCAUGCUAUAUGGAUUUAGAAAAAAUGCUGUUUUUAUUUUUUUAAACUUUCUGGAUAAUAGCUUUCUUUAGGGUAACAUAGUAAUUUCUUUAAGCACAAAGUUGUUUUAUGACAAUAUCUUGUUAUUGUUGAUGUUGGUUUUAUUACCACCACUGCUGCCAUUGUUAUCAUUAUGUUUGCCAUCCUGUACUAUUUAUUUCAGUUAGUCUUUUAUUGAGUUCACAUGGAACUUGUUCAGAGUAAUGCAUUAUGGUUAAGUAACUCUAUGUAUGUUACAGUUUGGGUUGUUGCAAUAAUCGUAUUUAUAUUCUCAAUGAUUAUCAGAUUUAUACAGUACACUACUAGAGAAAAUAAGAAAACAAAAGGCUGUUUUCUGAAAGUGAUGAAUG
RNAcentral lists this long non-coding RNA (2158 nucleotides) under Homo sapiens (human). Its description in RNAcentral is "HSALNT0375060". The record is from RNAcentral. Lineage: Eukaryota; Metazoa; Chordata; Mammalia; Primates; Hominidae.